This 412-nucleotide ribosomal RNA is filed under the name uncultured bacterium. Its description in RNAcentral is "bacterial SSU rRNA". It matches the Rfam family "Bacterial small subunit ribosomal RNA", at positions 132 to 561 of the family's 1533-position model. The record is from RNAcentral.
AGUCGUGGGGGAAAACGUAGAGAAAUUUACGCUAAUACCGCAUACGAUCUACGGAUGAAAGCGGGGGAUUCGCAAGAACCUCGCGCGAUUGGAGCGGCUGAUAUCAGAUUAGGUUGUUGGGGAGGUAAAAGCUCACCAAGGCGACGAUCUUUAGCUGGUCUGAGAGGAUGAUCAGCCACACUGGGACUGAGACACGGCCCAGACUCCUACGGGAGGCAGCAGUGGGGAAUAUUGGACAAUGGGCGAAAAGCCUGAUCCAGCAAUGCCGCGUGAGUGAUGAAGGCCUUAGGGUUGUAAAGCUCUUUUACCCGGGAAGAUUAUGACUGUACCGGGAGAAUAAGCCCCGGCUUACUCCGUGCCAGCAGACGCGGUAAUACGGAGGGGGCUAGCGUUAUUCGGAAUUACUGGGCGU